UAACGCGUAGGUAACCUGCCUGGUAGCGGGGGAUAACUAUUGGAAACGAUAGCUAAUACCGCACAAGAGUAGAUGUUGCAUGACAUUUACUUAAAAGGUGCAAUUGCAUCACUACCAGAUGGACCUGCGUUGUAUUAGCUAGUUGGUGGGGUAACGGCUCACCAAGGCGACGAUACAUAGCCGACCUGAGAGGGUGAUCGGCCACACUGGGACUGAGACACGGCCCAG
Molecule: ribosomal RNA, 228 nt
Filed under: uncultured Streptococcaceae bacterium
Lineage: Bacteria; Bacillati; Bacillota; Bacilli; Lactobacillales; Streptococcaceae
Description: partial 16S ribosomal RNA
Rfam family: Bacterial small subunit ribosomal RNA
Source: RNAcentral